This 253-nucleotide ribosomal RNA is filed under the name uncultured bacterium. Its description in RNAcentral is "partial 16S ribosomal RNA". It matches the Rfam family "Bacterial small subunit ribosomal RNA", at positions 524 to 776 of the family's 1533-position model. The record is from RNAcentral.
UACGUAGGCAGCGAGCGUUGUUCGGAGUUACUGGGCGUAAAGGGUGUGUAGGCGGUUCUUUAAGUUUGGUGUGAAAUCUCCCGGCUCAACCGGGAGGGUGCGCCGAAUACUGAGGGACUAGGGUGCGGGAGAGGAAGGUGGAAUUCCUGGUGUAGCGGUGAAAUGCGUAGAUAUCAGGAGGAACACCGGUGGUGUAGACGGCUUUCUGGACCGUAACUGACGCUGAGACACGAAAGCGUGGGUAGCAAACAGG